AACGGGUGAGUAACACGUGGGCAACCUGCCCCUGGCUCUGGGAUAACUCCAAGAAAUUGGGGCUAAUACCGGAUAUGACCGCUGACCGCAUGGUCUGGUGGUGGAAAGAUUUAUCGGCUGGGGAUGGGCCCGCGGCCUAUCAGCUUGUUGGUGGGGUAGUGGCCUACCAAGGCGACGACGGGUAGCCGGCCUGAGAGGGUGACCGGCCACACUGGGACUGAGACACGGCCCAGACUCCUACGGGAGGCAGCAGUGGGGAAUAUUGCGCAAUGGGCGAAAGCCUGACGCAGCGACGCCGCGUGGGGGAUGACGGCCUUCGGGUUGUAAACCUCUUUCAGCAGGGACGAAGCGGAAGUGACGGUACCUGCAGAAGAAGCACCGGCCAACUACGUGCCAGCAGCCGCGGUAAUACGUAGGGUGCAAGCGUUGUCCGGAAUUAUUGGGCGUAAAGAGCUCGUAGGCGGUUCGUCACGUCGGCUGUGAAAACCUGAGGCUCAACCUCAGGCCUGCAGUCGAUACGGGCGGACUUGAGUACUGCAGGGGAGACUGGAAUUCCUGGUGUAGCGGUGAAAUGCGCAGAUAUCAGGAGGAACACCGGUGGCGAAGGCGGGUCUCUGGGCAGUAACUGACGCUGAGGAGCG
Molecule: ribosomal RNA, 641 nt
Filed under: Blastococcus sp. I12A-02971
Lineage: Bacteria; Bacillati; Actinomycetota; Actinomycetes; Geodermatophilales; Geodermatophilaceae
Description: bacterial SSU rRNA
Rfam family: Bacterial small subunit ribosomal RNA
Source: RNAcentral